This 497-nucleotide ribosomal RNA is filed under the name uncultured bacterium. RNAcentral describes it as "partial 16S ribosomal RNA". It matches the Rfam family "Bacterial small subunit ribosomal RNA", at positions 28 to 507 of the family's 1533-position model. The record is from RNAcentral.
GAUGAACGCUGGCGGCGUGCCUAAUACAUGCAAGUCGAGCGAACGGACGAGAAGCUUGCUCCUCUGAUGUUAGCGGCGGACGGGUGAGUAACACGUGGAUAACCUACCUAUAAGACUGGGAUAACUUCGGGAAACCGGAGCUAAUACCGGCAGAUAUUUUGAACCGCAUGGCUCAAGAGUUAAGGACGGUCUUGCUGUCACUUAUAGAUGGAUCCGCGCUGCAUUAGCUAGUUGGUAAGGUAACGGCUUACCAAGGCAACGAUGCAUAGCCGACCUGAGAGGGUGAUCGGCCACACUGGAACUGAGACACGGACCAGACUCCUACGGGAGGCAGCAGUAGGGAAUCUUGCGCAAUGGGCGAAAGCCUGACGGAGCAACGCCGCGUGAGUGAUGAAGGUCUUCGGAUCGUAAAACUCUGUUAUUAGGGAAGAACAGAUGUGUAAGUAACUGUGCACGUCUUGACGGUACCUAAUCAGUAAGCCACGGCUAACUUCGUG